This 259-nucleotide ribosomal RNA is filed under the name uncultured bacterium. Its description in RNAcentral is "partial 16S ribosomal RNA". It matches the Rfam family "Archaeal small subunit ribosomal RNA", at positions 474 to 732 of the family's 1478-position model. The record is from RNAcentral.
UACCAGCACCCCGAGUGGUCGGGACGUUUAUUGGGCCUAAAGCAUCCGUAGCCGGUUCUACAAGUCUUCCGUUAAAUCCAACGUGCUUAACAGGUGGGCUGCGGAAGAUACUAUAGAGCUAGGAGGCGGGAGAGGCAAGCGGUACUCGAUGGGUAGGGGUAAAAUCCGUUGAUCCAUUGAAGACCACCAGUGGCGAAGGCGGCUUGCCAGAACGCGCUCGACGGUGAGGGAUGAAAGCUGGGGGAGCAAACCGGAUUAG